Molecule: ribosomal RNA, 434 nt
Filed under: Litoporus dimona
Lineage: Eukaryota; Metazoa; Arthropoda; Arachnida; Araneae; Pholcidae
Description: partial 16S ribosomal RNA
Source: RNAcentral
UUUUUUAAGARRAUUAAUUUARAAUAAAACCUGCUCAAUGAAACAUUAAAUAGCCGCAGAAUUCUGUGCUAAGGUAGCAUAAUCAUUAGCUUUCUAAUUAAAAGAUAGAAUGAAUGGUUAAACGAGAUACUAACUGUUUCUAUACGCAUAAUGAAAUUAUAAUAAAAGUAAAAAUCCUUUUAAAGAAAAGAAAGACGAUAAGACCCUAAAAACUUAUAAUUCAAUUAUUUAGCUGGGGCGGCAUAUUAAAUAUACCUUAGUUAUUUUAAUUAAACAAAACAAAUAAAAUUUUAUUAGAAAAGUUACUUUAGGGAUAACAGCGCUACUUUUUUUUAAAGAUCUAAUAAAAAAAAAUCCUACGACCUCGAUGUUGAAUUAUUAAUCUUUUUGAUGCAAAAAUCAAAAAAGAAAGUCUGUUCGACUUAUAAUUAUUU